Molecule: long non-coding RNA, 235 nt
Filed under: Brassica napus (rape)
Lineage: Eukaryota; Viridiplantae; Streptophyta; Magnoliopsida; Brassicales; Brassicaceae
Description: long non-coding RNA (BNAP_LNC000089)
Source: RNAcentral
GAGAGAGAGAAAUAGAAUGAAGAAAGUUUUCAAGUUUUUGUUACCACACACACAUACAUAUAUAUAUACUACUGUUUCAAUUGUUUUAACAAAGAAAAUAAAUACGACAACAUGCAUGUUUGUUUACAUCCUAUCCCAUUCUAGAAUCAUAAUUGCAAGUUACCAACAUCAUCAUUAAUUCAAAGCAUCCUUCUGACUAAAUUGGAAAAUCAGUUUAUGUUUUAUGUAAAAAAAU